Molecule: non-coding RNA, 84 nt
Organism: Macaca mulatta (Rhesus monkey)
Lineage: Eukaryota; Metazoa; Chordata; Mammalia; Primates; Cercopithecidae
Source: Rfam
CUUGCAGAGGCUCUUGACCUGGGACUUGGAUAGCUACUUUCACUGGUUCAGCUGCUUGAUCCACUGGUCCAGCUCCUUGGAGAA